This 107-nucleotide transfer RNA is filed under the name Bacillus amyloliquefaciens. RNAcentral's name for it is "tRNA-Tyr". The stretch from base 4 to 97 matches the Rfam family "tRNA", at positions 7 to 64 of the family's 71-position model. From Rfam's summary of the family: Transfer RNA (tRNA) molecules are approximately 80 nucleotides in length. Their secondary structure includes four short double-helical elements and three loops (D, anti-codon, and T loops). Further hydrogen bonds mediate the characteristic L-shaped molecular structure. tRNAs have two regions of fundamental functional importance: the anti-codon, which is responsible for specific mRNA codon recognition, and the 3' end, to which the tRNAs corresponding amino acid is attached (by aminoacyl-tRNA synthetases). tRNAs cope with the degeneracy of the genetic code in two manners: having more than one tRNA (with a specific anti-codon) for a particular amino acid; and 'wobble' base-pairing, i.e. permitting non-standard base-pairing at the 3rd anti-codon position. The record is from RNAcentral. Lineage: Bacteria; Bacillati; Bacillota; Bacilli; Caryophanales; Bacillaceae.
GGGGUAGCGAAGUGGCUAAACGCGGCGGACUGUAAAUCCGCUCCCUCAGGGUACGCACCAGAUUGUGGCUCUGGCACUCGUGGGUUCGAUUCCCAUCAAUCGCCCCA